UGAUCCAAAGACCAUUCCUCCAUCAAGUACCGCGGUAGCAGGACACGAAACUGAAAUCGACAAGUAAGAUGAACAUAGCAGCGCAGGGUGGAAGAAGAAAAUGCAGCUGCCGCACUGAAGAUGUGCCAGCCACGUCGACCCAAAACCACACCGCCGGAUCCCACCUCAGGAGAGGGGGACGGGCGGGAUGGCCACACGACCAGAUGGGUGGAGGCAGCAGCGGCGCUGCCGCCCACUGACCCACCCCCCGAAGACGACCAGAAGAGGCGGCUUGGGCGGCAACAGGAGGCUGCGGCGCAGCGCUCUUGAAGCGGCGGUAACCGGUGGCGGGAGAGCGCCCUCGCCCAGGAGCACGCAGAUCCGGACCAGUGGAGGUCGGAUCCGGCGUGAGGGGCCAGAGUAACCCUCACCAGCGGCGAGCACGAUGACCUAGGCGACCUUUUUUCUUUUUGAAGCUGAGGAAGAGGGGGAGAAGGAGGAAGAGAGGAGGAGCGCACAAGAACGCCUGAAGCUGGUAGAUCUGAGCGGGGGACCGCAGGAUCCGGCCGCGGCAGAGCCGGAGCCACGCCAUCCCGGCCGCGUCGUAACUCCCUGCUCCCGCAGCGUCGCGCCGCCCGCAGCGAUGAAUGCGCGCUGGCUCCAGCCGAAAUCCCCGUCGCCGCCUUCCUCGCGGCCACAGGGCUUCCAGCGGCCCACUCAGGCGACGGCGAGGUGGAGGUGGUAGAAAAAUCGGUCCAAAAUACAAUGCCGAAUCCACGGUCUGGGUUAGUAUUUUUUUGUUAUAUACGCGCCUAAUGAGAGGUAAAGAACCACACAGACAACUCUGCAGCACCCAAACUAUGGCAGCAGCUCCCCAACGCCUUUGCCCCCGCCAUCUUCCACAAGACUGCCUGCUCGUUUAUCUCCUGCAGCACCUGCCAAUGCUUACGGGUGGAAACCGAGCGGAGGUUAUGCCCCAGACCUACCGCGUCGAGUCAUGCAGGUGCAGCUGGUGACACCACCAACACCCCGUCCGCGCCACCAUGAUAGGUGCGGCAGAUAAUGGUGAGUUGGUGACAUCAACGGUGCCGGCGGUCCUCUCGUUCUUCUACUUGCCAGCGCGCAGUCAAGGUAUUCCAUCUUCCGUAACAUUCUCAUAAGGCGACGGGCAAGAAGAUGGCGGUGGGGCGUGGGGUCGAGGCAAAGAAAGAGUGGACGCAGCUGGUUCGCCAUCAGCUGGUGCUCCCGCGUGCACUCAAGAUAGCGAGCUCGGAAACACUUGCAGCCGCACCGGUUGAGUCAAUAUCGACGCAGGAGAUGCACAACAUGUGCUCGAUUAUUUGCCUAUGAGAGCUGAUGUUACUGAUUCUCCUCCCCAUGUUCCUUGCAGUGUGCUGUGUUUUUAUUGAUUGAUUAUAUUCUACUACAUGUUACCGAGAUGGAAAUAUGGCAGUAAUUGCAAGGGGGCCUGAUUGCUAUAUCAAAAUCCAGCUCGGGUGCCACCUGAUACAAGCAAAGCUGCAGGGUGUUCUGCGUUGCCUUCCUCAAGAUCAUGACCAAGAAUAUCACUGAUGAUCCCCUGUUAUUUCAUUUGUUCAAGGUAGAUUUCUCAGAAAAGCAGCAAUUCUCUCACUUCACAGUAUAGGUCUUCUAGAAGGUGAUAUAAUACAUCAGUCUGUCAUUUCUGUGCUCUAAAUAGAUUUUUAGCUCUAAGCGAAGGAUCAUAAAAUAUCGGUGGAGUUCCAGUAACCGGUGCUGCACCAGCAAGAUAUUUUCAAAUAUACCAUGAAGAAGCUACUUAAAUGGACACAAAGCAACUCUACUAGGUGCUGGAAUUUGAAAUAUAUUAGGAGCUUCAUACUACCGUUGCCUGAGAUUCAGUUCCUGCUACCAAAGUCUUCAUAGUCAAUUAUAAUUUUUGCUUAUACAUUGCUAUUGGAUAAAUGAAGUGCUGCAUCUGAUUCAAAUAAUGUAUUUUGCAUCAUUUAAUUAUUGUCAAUCAAAGCUUAAGGUUGCGUCA
Long non-coding RNA from Panicum hallii, 1999 nucleotides. RefSeq lists it as uncharacterized. The record is from RefSeq and is a predicted model, not a curated record. The transcript has 2 exons. Lineage: Eukaryota; Viridiplantae; Streptophyta; Magnoliopsida; Poales; Poaceae.